This 29-nucleotide non-coding RNA is filed under the name Rattus norvegicus (Norway rat). The record is from RNAcentral. Lineage: Eukaryota; Metazoa; Chordata; Mammalia; Rodentia; Muridae.
UGCAUAAGUUGAAAGGGAUGUUUAUGUGG